RNAcentral lists this ribosomal RNA (564 nucleotides) under uncultured bacterium. Its description in RNAcentral is "bacterial SSU rRNA". It matches the Rfam family "Bacterial small subunit ribosomal RNA", at positions 338 to 916 of the family's 1533-position model. The record is from RNAcentral.
CCUACGGGAGGCAGCAGGGAGGAAUAUUGGACAAUGGGGGAAACCCCGAUCCAGCAACGCCGCGUGAGGGAUGAAGGCCUUCGGGUCGUAAACCUCUUUUAAGGGAGACGAGAAAGGACGGUAUCCCUGGAAUAAGUCACGGCUAACUACGUGCCAGCAGCCGCGGUAAUACGUAGGUGACGAGCGUUAUCCGGAUUUACUGGGCGUAAAGCGCUUGUAGGUGGCUUUGUAAGUUGGGCGUGAAAACUCUGGGCUUAACCCAGAGACGCCGUCCAAUACUGCGAAGCUAGAGGAUGUCAGAGGAAGGUGGAAUUCCUGGUGUAGUAGUGAAAUGCGUAGAUAUCAAGGAGGAACACCCGUGGCGAAGGCGGCCUUCUGGGGCAUUCCUGACACUGAGAAGCGAAAGCUAGGGGAGCAAACAGGAUUAGAAACCCUGGUAGUCCUAGCUGUAACCGAUGGAUGCUAGGUGUUGGCGGAUUUAACCCUGCCAGUGCCGAAGCUAACGCGUUAAGCAUCCCGCCUGGGAAGUACGAUCGCAAGAUUAAAACUCAAAUGAAUUGACGG